Phalacrocorax carbo (great cormorant) is the source of this 1157-nucleotide non-coding RNA. The record is from RefSeq and is a predicted model, not a curated record. NCBI's taxonomy places the organism in Eukaryota, Metazoa, Chordata, Aves, Suliformes, Phalacrocoracidae.
GUGCGGCGGGCCGGGCCUCCGCCUCCCUCCCCCUGCGCACGUGACCAGCGCCGCCGCCCGCGUCACGGCGGGGGCGGGGCGGCGCGAGGCGGGGGGCCCGGGCGGGGCGGUGUCACACCGGUCGCGCGGGCACGGGGGCUCAGUGUCCCCCCGACCGCCCCCUCGUCGGGGACGGAGCUGCUGGUCCUAGGGCCUGAGGCUUGCCCCCUCGCGUGGGCUGUUUCGUUGUUACGCCAAGAAAAUUUAGUUUUAUCAGAUGUCUCACUUCCUCGGAUCAGCAUCCUGCAGAUACGACAGCAGCAGAGGGACAACACAAUGAAACCCGCCGUAUGAAAGAACAGAAACUAAGCCCAGCUGUACAGUGGUGGAGUGACCUCCUUGCUUGGAAGGAAAUAAAGAGAACCCUCACAAAAAGACCCUCCCAGCACUAGACCUCUGCCCUUCAUUUAAAUGGUAUUUUGGAGAACCACCAUUUUCCUUAGCAGAGCAUGUAUCUUUUAAGUGAAGAUCGACUGCUCAAAUAUUCAGUCCACUGCUUUACUUUAAGCUCCAGCUUAUUGUUUGAAACUGGAUUUAUGGUCUCUUGUUGCACAUUUCAGUCCAUCUUUAUUUUCCUAAUUGGUUCACGAACCUUUUCUUACUUGGACAAUUAAAUUAUUUGGAAGCUUAACCUUAACAAAAUAAAUACUUAGCUCUUUCUGCAAUAUGUCAAAGUAUAUUUGCACAACAAAACCAUUCUUUCCAUUGCAGCACUUAAGGCAGAAAUAGAUAUUAUUUCACAAGCUUUAAGAAACAUAGAUUCCUAAAAUCUGAAGAUAUGAAAUGUUGCAAUGUUGUACCACAAAAUUCCUGAUGAAACAUGCGCAGCACGACAAAUCUCUCCAUGCAGAACAUUCCUCAUACCAAUGAUACGUACCCAGCCUUCUAGCACGUUUGAAACAUUCAAUAAUGCCUUAUUUUCUGGGGCAAAUGUCAGAGAAAGGGGCUCAUUCAUGUUAAGAUAGCCUCAUUUUCUAAAAUCAAAGUGUGAAGUCAACCAUCAAAGAGCAAAUAUGAAACUGACUACAAUCCCCUCCUAUUGUGGCCGUUUUGUCACAGUACAUUUUUAGAUGAGUUACAUUUAUGACCAAUAAGUUUACUCCCCGGUUUCUGUUGGA